RNAcentral lists this long non-coding RNA (248 nucleotides) under Gossypium barbadense (sea-island cotton). RNAcentral's name for it is "long non-coding RNA (GBAR_LNC016593)". The record is from RNAcentral. Lineage: Eukaryota; Viridiplantae; Streptophyta; Magnoliopsida; Malvales; Malvaceae.
AAACAUUCACUAUUCAUGCCUUCGCCUAGUCGUCAAUAGCUCAAACUAGCUUUUCUUUUCCUUUUGCCUUACUCAUCGAAGGCUCCAACACUUCCAUAUCUUCACCAAAUUUAACCACACAAUAACCAUGAUUAAAAUUCAGCUAUAAACACUCUUAAAACAAUCAAAAUGCAGGCCUAAGUUAGUUCCUAUUGGAACAAAAAAUCUUCGACAUAGCAAACUUGAAACUUAAUUAUCUCAAUCUCCAC